UGCAGCGGUGGUCGAGUUGGCUGAUGGCAUCUGCCUCGAAAGCAGAAGAGCCGCAAGGCUCCGGGGGUUCAAAUCCCUCCCGCUGCGU
This 88-nucleotide transfer RNA is filed under the name Lachnospiraceae bacterium. RNAcentral describes it as "tRNA-Ser". It matches the Rfam family "tRNA". Rfam says of the family: Transfer RNA (tRNA) molecules are approximately 80 nucleotides in length. Their secondary structure includes four short double-helical elements and three loops (D, anti-codon, and T loops). Further hydrogen bonds mediate the characteristic L-shaped molecular structure. tRNAs have two regions of fundamental functional importance: the anti-codon, which is responsible for specific mRNA codon recognition, and the 3' end, to which the tRNAs corresponding amino acid is attached (by aminoacyl-tRNA synthetases). tRNAs cope with the degeneracy of the genetic code in two manners: having more than one tRNA (with a specific anti-codon) for a particular amino acid; and 'wobble' base-pairing, i.e. permitting non-standard base-pairing at the 3rd anti-codon position. RNAcentral also lists the same sequence under 1 other name. Lineage: Bacteria; Bacillati; Bacillota; Clostridia; Lachnospirales; Lachnospiraceae. The record is from RNAcentral.